RNAcentral lists this transfer RNA (79 nucleotides) under Anguilla anguilla (European eel). Its description in RNAcentral is "tRNA-OTHER". The record is from RNAcentral. Lineage: Eukaryota; Metazoa; Chordata; Actinopteri; Anguilliformes; Anguillidae.
CUGCCUGUGGCCUAGUGGGCAAGGUUACAGUCUUGCAGACUGUAACCUUGGGUCGCAGGUCCAAGCCCAGCUAGGAACA